CUUGCUGCUGCCAGAUUCGGGCCUGGGGGCCUGCUGGAUUCAGGCCUAGCGCUGUGGGCUUGCUGGGCUGGCCUGCUGCUACGCUGGGCUGUGUUGCUGGACUGGGCCUGGCUGUCACCUCCUUCUAUUUUACUUUUUUUUCUGCUUUGCCCUUUUUUUUGGCUGCUGGGCUUUUACUGUGGCCUGCUAAACUGCUGCCGGUCGGGUCGCUGGAUCGAGUCGGGUCAAAUCUGGGUCGAGUCGGUUUGACCCGACUGUUUUAGGUUUUUUUCAUUUUUUUCUUUCCUUUUUUUUCUCUUUUUUCUUUCUUUUUCUUCUUCUUCUUCAGGCCGAACCCUAACUGCCGCUCGCUUCUCCCCUUUCGUCCACUGCUGUCAUCGACUCUUCCGUUCGGUGGCGCAGCGGUCACGACGUUCUCCACUCUUCCUUUCUCUCCCCCUCUUUUUACUCUUCUCUUCUCCCUUUCACUUUCUCUCUUUUCUUCUCUCCUUUCUAUUCUUUUUCUUUUCUUUUUCCUUCAAAAGCUCAAAACCUAGAGGCGUCGACGCCCCUUCCAAUCCACAAUUCAUCGCUCGAUCUUCCUCCGCCCUAGGUGGCUGUGGUAAAGAGCCGAAAUUUCUUCCUUUUUUUUAUUUUUGCUAUUGUUUUGUUUGGUUUUUUUUUUGGUUUUUUUUGAUUGAUUGUGGCUUAUAGGUAGUGGUGAUGAGGGAAACGAUGGUCGCGCGAUGAUCACGGUGGUGGUGGCGGUCGCUCGGCUGAGUCUUUGCCGAAGUCGUUUUGAUUUUUUUGAAGUUUUUCUUUUCUGUUUUUCUUUUUUUUUGGUGUUGUCGAAUCCCCCUUUUCUUUCUCUUCAAUUUUUUUCUUUUUAAUCUUUCAAUUUUGUCUUCUUCCUCUUUGUUUUCAAGUGGCAGUAGAGGAGGGGGAGCACGGCCGAUGGCCGAUUGGGGGUGUCAGGCAUAGAGAGCAGGGCACGCCCGAAUGCUGAUUGGGGGUGGUCUG
RNAcentral lists this long non-coding RNA (999 nucleotides) under Gossypium raimondii (Peruvian cotton). Its description in RNAcentral is "long non-coding RNA (GRAI_LNC010327)". The record is from RNAcentral. Lineage: Eukaryota; Viridiplantae; Streptophyta; Magnoliopsida; Malvales; Malvaceae.